Non-coding RNA from Kogia breviceps (pygmy sperm whale), 1170 nucleotides. The record is from RefSeq and is a predicted model, not a curated record. NCBI's taxonomy places the organism in Eukaryota, Metazoa, Chordata, Mammalia, Artiodactyla, Physeteridae.
UGGAGUAUGGUGCCCAGUUGUUCAAACACUAACCUAGGUGUCGCUGUGAAGUUCUUUUGUAGAUGUAACUAAUCUCUACAAUCAGUUGACUUUAAAUAAAGCAGAUGACCCUCCAUAAUGUGGGUGGGCCUUAUCCAAUCAAUUGAAAGCUGUAAGACCAAAAACUGAGGUUGCCCUAAGAAGAAGGAAUUCUGCCUCAAGGCUGUAACCUAAAAAAUCCUGCCUGAGUUUUCAGCCUGCUAGCCUGCACAACAGAUCUGUAGAUUUUAGGCUUGCCAACCUUCCCAAUCGUGUGUGCCAAUUUCUUCAAAUUCCUUUCUCUUUCUGUCCCCCUUCCCUUCCAAUUUAAUCAAGAAACACAUGUUAAACUAUAAUUAGUCAAUGACUAAUGGUCAAUGACUUCCCUUUCCCCCCACCCCAUAUCUCUGUCUCUAUCUCUCUCAACCUCUCUCUCUCCCCUCUGCCAUGUAAUAGAUGAGCAUAUAGAAUGUAGGCCCUUCAACAGUAGUAGACCAACUGGUGAAAUGUCUAAAAGCUCAGGAAUAUAAUUUUUAGUGUAAUUUCAAAUGUAAAGUAGGACUCUCAGAAGACAGGAAAUGCAAAUAAAAUGAAGCACAGAGAUAUUUAGAACACACUCUCCAUGAAGACAAAGACAUUGCCUUGUUCACAAUAUGUCCAUAGGUCUAAAAUGGUAACUAAACAACUUAAAAAACAUGUGUUGAAAAGGAAUACAUGCUAGAAUUCUAUAGCUAUGUACAGCAAGGUAGGAUAUUUUUUCCUAUUGGUAUCCACCCAAACUAUUUUUCUUCUGAGCUAACAGAACAUCAUGGAGGAGGUAUGUAUUCAAGCAUCCAUCCUCACAUGCAUCCGUUCAUAAAGCAUGCACUGAGAACAUGCCACAUUCUACAGGCUGUGCUGGCCUUCAGACUGUGAGAUGAAGAUGUCUUCCCUUUGGAGCACCACAGGCUGAUUCUCCAUAUACCAGUAGGGAAUCAGGAAACUACAAUAUCCAUCAGCAUCCACAACUCCUGCCAGGUAUUGCCAUGGUCCUAGGAAGUUUCACAGUCACUUAAAAAGAUUAUAGUAAUGAAAGAGGAAAGAUUUUUGUAUCUCAAAAGAAAAAGACCAGUUCUAGCCAAGAAACACAAGUCUAAACCUUCUUGGAAAGAG